GAGGGUAUAGCUCAGUGGUAGAGUAUAUGCUUAGGGUGCAUGAGGUCAUGGGUUCAAUCCCCAGUACCUCCA
Molecule: transfer RNA, 72 nt
Filed under: Camelus bactrianus (Bactrian camel)
Lineage: Eukaryota; Metazoa; Chordata; Mammalia; Artiodactyla; Camelidae
Also listed under: 2 other names
Rfam family: tRNA
About the family: Transfer RNA (tRNA) molecules are approximately 80 nucleotides in length. Their secondary structure includes four short double-helical elements and three loops (D, anti-codon, and T loops).
Source: Rfam by way of RNAcentral